This 396-nucleotide ribosomal RNA is filed under the name uncultured bacterium. RNAcentral describes it as "partial 16S ribosomal RNA". It matches the Rfam family "Bacterial small subunit ribosomal RNA", at positions 523 to 918 of the family's 1533-position model. The record is from RNAcentral.
AUACGUAGGUGGCAAGCGUUGUCCGGAAUUAUUGGGCGUAAAGCGCAUGUAGGCGGUUUGGUAAGUCGGUCGUGAAAAUGCGGUGCUUAACGCCGUAUGGCGAUUGAAACUGCUGAACUUGAGUGCAGGAGAGGAAAGGGGAACUCCCAGUGUAGCGGUGAAAUGCGUAGAUAUUGGGAAGAACACCGGUGGCGAAGGCGCCUUUCUGUACUGUGUCUGACGCUCAGAUGCGAAAGCCAGGGUAGCGAACGGGAUUAGAUACCCCGGUAGUCCUGGCCGUAAACGAUGGGUACUAGGUGUGGGAGGUAUCGAGUCCUUCCGUGCCGGAGUUAACGCAAUAAGUCCCCCGCCUGGGGAGUACGGCCGCAAGGCUUAAACUCAAAUGAAUUGACGGGG